Molecule: long non-coding RNA, 280 nt
Filed under: Elaeis guineensis (African oil palm)
Lineage: Eukaryota; Viridiplantae; Streptophyta; Magnoliopsida; Arecales; Arecaceae
Description: long non-coding RNA (EGUI_LNC047490)
Source: RNAcentral
CAAUGCUUACUUAGACGAAGGGGCCCAGUUACUCGAUGAAAAACUAAUAUUUAGAUUUUUUUUUAACAUUGUACUGCUAUUGAGUGUCUUAAUCCUUUAAACUUUCUGUUUGACCCAUAUAGCGAGUUUUUAGCUAGUGACUCUCGAACCAGAUGGCUUUAGGACCAAAAAUUGAUACGAUCACGAUGUUAUCAUUAGAACACUAUGAUUAUUAAUCUAAUUUCAACUUUAGUAAAAAUUAAAAAUAUGUAAAAAUUAGCGAGUCAGGUCGAAUCCACAG